RNAcentral lists this ribosomal RNA (253 nucleotides) under uncultured bacterium. Its description in RNAcentral is "partial 16S ribosomal RNA". It matches the Rfam family "Bacterial small subunit ribosomal RNA", at positions 524 to 776 of the family's 1533-position model. The record is from RNAcentral.
UACAGAGGUCCCAAGCGUUGUUCGGAUUCACUGGGCGUAAAGGGUGCGUAGGCGGUCGGAUAAGUCUGAUGUGAAAUCUUCGAGCUCAACUCGGAAACUGCAUCGGAAACUAUUUGGCUAGAGGAUUGGAGGGGAGACUGGAAUUCUCGGUGUAGCAGUGAAAUGCGUAGAUAUCAGGAGGAACACCAGUGGCGAAGGCGGCUUCCUGGACACCAACUGACGCUGAGACGCGAAAGCGUGGGGAGCAAACAGG